This 364-nucleotide small nucleolar RNA is filed under the name Leptobrachium leishanense (Leishan spiny toad). RNAcentral describes it as "Small Cajal body-specific RNA 2 (ENSLLEG00000002460.1)". It matches the Rfam family "Small Cajal body-specific RNA 2". The record is from Rfam by way of RNAcentral. Lineage: Eukaryota; Metazoa; Chordata; Amphibia; Anura; Megophryidae.
GUGUGAGAGAGCGAGAAUGUUUGAGUGAGUGAGUGAGUGAGUGAGUGAGUGAGUGAGUGAGUGAGUGAGUGAGUGAGUGAGUGAGUGAGUGAGUGAGCGAGCGAGCGAGUGAGCGAGCGAGCGAGUCCGCCCGCCCGCCACGUCCUACACAUUGAUCUUAUUUGAUCCCCCUGCAUAGUGCAGCCUGUGGCAGGGGUGAAAUGAUGAGACACCUCUGGCAAAGCCCUUCUCGGGCUAUGUGCGCUGAUCUCUGGUCUUCAGGCUGCGUAACCCGGCAUGAUGAAACGAUCAGAUAUACUAGGCUAGGGAGCAGUGCGUCAUGCCCUGUCCCUUGCCUGUGAGUAUAGAUGCGAUUCUGACCAGG